UCCUCAGGUCCAUGUUAUACAGGUUAAUGAUAACUAGUCCCUCCUCAGGUCCAUGUUAUACAGGUUAAUGAUAACUAGUCCCUCCUCAGGUCCAUGUUAUACAGGUUAAUGAUAACUAGUCCCUCCCCAGGUCCAUGUUAUACAGGUUAAUGAUAACUAGUCCCUCCUCAGGUCCAUGUUAUACAGGUUAAUGAUAACUAGUCCCUCCUCAGGUCCAUGUUAUACAGGUUAAUGAUAACUAGUCCCUCCUCAGGUCCAUGUUAUACAGGUUAAUGAUAACUAGUCCCUCCCCAGGUCCAUGUUAUACAGGUUAAUGAUAACUAGUCCCUCCUCAGGUCCAUGUUAUACAGGUUAAUGAUAACUAGUCCCUCCUCAGGUCCAUAUUAUACAGGUUAAUGAUAACUAGUCCCUCCUCAGGUCCAUGUUAUACAGGUUAAUGAUAACUAGUCCCUCCUCAGGUCCAUAUUAUACAGGUUAAUGAUAACUAGUCCCUCCCCAGGUCCAUGUUAUACAGGUUAAUGAUAACUAGUCCCUCCUCAGGUCCAUGUUAUACAGGUUAAUGAUAACUAGUCCCUCCUCAGGUCCAUGUUAUACAGGUUAAUGAUAACUAGUCCCUCCUCAGGUCCAUGUUAUACAGGUUAAUGAUAACUAGUCCCUCCUCAGGUCCAUGUUAUACAGGUUAAUGAUAACUAGUCCCUCCUCAGGUCCAUGUUAUACAGGUUAAUGAUAACUAGUCCCUCCUCAGGUCCAUGUUAUACAGGUUAAUGAUAACUAGUCCCUCCUCAGGUCCAUGUUAUACAGGUUAAUGAUAACUAGUCCCUCCUCAGGUCCAUGUUAUACAGGUUAAUGAUAACUAGUCCCUCCCCAGGUCCAUGUUAUACAGGUUAAUGAUAACUAGUCCCUCCUCAGGUCCAUGUUAUACAGGUUAAUGAUAACUAGUCCCUCCCCAGGUCCAUGUUAUACAGGUUAAUUAUAACUAGUCCCUCCUCAGGUCCAUGUUAUACAGGUUAAUGAUAACUAGUCCCUCCUCAGGUCCAUGUUAUACAGGUUAAUGAUAACUAGUCCCUCCUCAGGUCCAUGUUAUACAGGUUAAUGAUAACUAGUCCCUCCCCAGGUCCAUGUUAUACAGGUUAAUGAUAACUAGUCCCUCCUCAGGUCCAUGUUAUACAGGUUAAUGAUAACUAGUCCCUCCUCAGGUCCAUGUUAUACAGGUUAAUGAUAACU
Long non-coding RNA from Trematomus bernacchii (emerald rockcod), 1224 nucleotides. RefSeq lists it as uncharacterized. The record is from RefSeq and is a predicted model, not a curated record. The transcript is spliced from 3 exons. Lineage: Eukaryota; Metazoa; Chordata; Actinopteri; Perciformes; Nototheniidae.